GGAAGAUGAACGUGUCCGGUGGCGCGGCUGGACUUCAAAUCCAGACGGGGUUUUUAUAAAGCCCCGGAAGGUUCGACUCCUUCCAUCUUCC
This 91-nucleotide transfer RNA is filed under the name hydrothermal vent metagenome. RNAcentral describes it as "tRNA-SeC(p)-TCA". It matches the Rfam family "Selenocysteine transfer RNA". The record is from RNAcentral.